UUCGCCUUCAUGAAGCCGGAAUUGCUAGUAAUGGCAGGUCAGCAUACUGCCGUGAAUACGUUCCCGGGCCUUGUACACACCGCCCGUCACACCAUGGGAGCCGGUAAUACCCGAAGUCAGUAGUCCAACCUCGUGAGGACGCUGCCGAAGGUAGGAUUGGCGACUGGGGUGAAGUCGUAACAAGGUAAC
RNAcentral lists this ribosomal RNA (189 nucleotides) under uncultured bacterium. RNAcentral's name for it is "partial 16S ribosomal RNA". It matches the Rfam family "Bacterial small subunit ribosomal RNA", at positions 1311 to 1500 of the family's 1533-position model. The record is from RNAcentral.